AGCAGCCGCGGUAAUUCCAGCUCCAAUAGCGUAUAUUAAAGUUGUUGCAGUUAAAAAGCUCGUAGUUGAAUUUCGGGAUCAAUAUAUCGGUCGUGCCUUCGGUACGUACUGGUAUCGUUGAUUUCUACCUUCUGACGAACCAUGAUGUCAUUAAUUUGGUGUCAUGGGAAAUCAGGACUGUUACUUUGAAAAAAUUAGAGUGUUUAAAGCAGGCACACGCUUGAAUACAUUAGCAUGGAAUAAUGAAAUAGGACGUUUGACCCUAUUUUGUUGGUUUCUAGGAUCGACGUAAUGAUUAAUAGGGAUAGUUGGGGGCAUUAGUAUUCAAUUGUCAGAGGUGAAAUUCUUGGAUUUAUUGAAGACUAACUACUGCGAAAGCAUUUGCCAAGGAUGUUUUCAUUAAUCAAGAACGAAAGUUAGGGGAUCGAAGACGAUCAGAUACCGUCGUAGUCUUAACCAUAAACUAUGCCGACUAGGGAUCGGAUGAUGUUAAUUUUUUAAUGUACUCAUUCGCGUACCG
Molecule: ribosomal RNA, 520 nt
Filed under: uncultured fungus
Lineage: Eukaryota; Fungi
Description: SSU rRNA
Rfam family: Eukaryotic small subunit ribosomal RNA
Source: RNAcentral